GGAUGAUAGAUUUAUGAUCAAGACAGUAAAGAAAUCAGAAGUCAAGGUGCUAAUUAGGAUGCUUCCCAGUUAUUACCAGCAUGUUUGUCGGUAUGAAAAUUCACUGGUAACAAAAUUCUUUGGUGUGCAUUGUGUUAAACCAAUUGGCGGGCAAAAGACCCGUUUCAUUGUGAUGGGCAAUUUGUUCUGCUCUGAGUAUAGAAUACAUAGGAGAUUUGACCUAAAAGGAUCCUCCCAUGGCCGAACAACAGAUAAGCCUGAGGGUGAGAUUGAUGAAACCACAACUCUCAAGGACCUGGAUCUCAAUUUUGUGUUUCGUCUUCAACGAAAUUGGUACCAAGAGCUUAUCAAGCAAAU
Molecule: unclassified non-coding RNA, 357 nt
Filed under: Hevea brasiliensis (rubber tree)
Lineage: Eukaryota; Viridiplantae; Streptophyta; Magnoliopsida; Malpighiales; Euphorbiaceae
Source: RNAcentral